RNAcentral lists this transfer RNA (63 nucleotides) under China mantispoides. RNAcentral describes it as "tRNA-Cys". The record is from RNAcentral. Lineage: Eukaryota; Metazoa; Arthropoda; Insecta; Orthoptera; Chorotypidae.
GGACUUAUAUUCAAUAAUGAUAUUAAAUUGCAAAUUUAAUGGUGUAAUAAUAUACUAAGGCCU